CGGAGAUUGCCUUGGAUUCAUUGACAACGUUGGGGAGUGGUGAUGUUGACAGUAGCGGAGAAGGAAGUCUCAGAGCGGAGGUCAAUCAGCAUGGCUCUGUUCACCGUCUGUCUAGUUCCUUCGGGCUGGUAGAGGGUGAGAGGAAGAAAAUCAAAUCACUUUAAUGAGCAACAAGAAAUGAAAGCUGAAGAAAAUAAGAAAUAGGAGUGGAAAGAAAGUCAACAUCCUAACCAAAAGAAACUAGCUAAUAAACAGACAGCUAAGCAUCCCAACUAGCACACAAUGAGAAACACAAAGCCCACUGUCUCAAACCUUGACAAGAAGCUGCUUGGUGACCACAUCAGCAGCGGAGGCAGUGGUGGCCCUCACGGUGAUGGGGAUGUUGCCGAUAGUCUGUGGCACCACCAUGAAGCUGACACUCAUGCCAGUACCUGAUGCCACCACAACCUCUCUGCUCUUCAUUGCUGCUGGGGCUGUGGGAGAAGAGGUUGUAUUGAGAAACAAUGCAAAUGUAAGCUGAGAAAGGAGACGUAAACAGAGAAGAGUAGGAAAAUAUAAAAUUAUGGCAGAAGUUUAUUUAAGAGAAGGGUAGAAAUGUAGAAGAUAAUGACAGAUUAAUAUUAAUCAUUCUAUCAAUAAAUUCAUCAAUCAGUCAUUAUCACUCUCUCUCUCUCUCACUUACAGCCUUGGUCGAUCUCAUUGGCAAAGUCAGCAAACAGGAAGUCCUCAUUGGGAUUCUCCAGAGUGACCUGCGCUGUGGCCUGUUGAUCCCCAUAGUUGAAAAUGACCAUCUCCACUGCCACGGCCUCCCCGCGCACCACGCCCGCCGCAGGGAGGUUCAUUGACACAAAGAAUGGCCGGAACACUCGCAGCUAAGAGGAGUUCCUGUAUGAAAUAAACCUUACGUCACAAAGCAAUACUCACGGAAUGGAUUGAAGUCGUGGACGUAACCAUUAGUCAGCACCACAAUGCCAGCGUUCUGCAACACCACACACCCACACAUUAGAGAAGACACUGAACAGAGAUGAGAUACUGACUCAUUCUUAAUCUCUACAAGGUUGGUGGAAGAAUAGUGGUGCAAGAAAAUGAAUGAAGAGUUUAUAUAAGGAAAGACAGAAGGGAAGGAAGAAAGCUAAAGAUACUGGCUUAUUCUUAAAAUGUUCUGCAGUGGAUAAAUGAAUGGCUAUGGAAAUAAAUGAGUUAUAUGAAGGAAAACUGCUAAGUAAUGAAUGUGGUGUUAAUAUGAGAACUGAGAGAAGUAGUAACCUGAGAGAUGAAUGGCAAUGAUUAGUGUUAACAUGAAAAUAAGAGAGGAGGGUAACUUUGAAAACAUCACUAGCUUAACCUUAAAACAGUCCAGUCAGAUAAAAACAUAGGUACAAAAAUGAAGUAGGGGAAUGGACACUAGAGAAAGGAAAAGACUGAGGCAUUUAUAGUAUGACAGAGAGAGAGAGAGUAACCUUGAAGACAUCACUGGUGGUUGUGGUGCCCAUCCAGUUGAAGAGAGCUCGCUUCUUUCUGCUAAGGGCGUGCCAGGGCGCCUCCAAGGUCUUUCUGCCAGGGUCGUAUGUCUCCAGCUCAUCAAUCACCUCAUGCUGCAACACACAAGUGGAUGUUUUGUGAGACCAAGACAAAGACCUCAUCUGUGCAAACUGUCACAUGCGAGUAAAACUUUUCAUACAACAAAUAAAAAGGAUGAUUAAUUUGUCUAAGC
Long non-coding RNA from Portunus trituberculatus (swimming crab), 1714 nucleotides. RefSeq lists it as uncharacterized. The record is from RefSeq and is a predicted model, not a curated record. Lineage: Eukaryota; Metazoa; Arthropoda; Malacostraca; Decapoda; Portunidae. The transcript has 3 exons.